Molecule: transfer RNA, 75 nt
Filed under: archaeon
Lineage: Archaea
Also listed under: 1 other name
Description: tRNA-Ile
Rfam family: tRNA
About the family: Transfer RNA (tRNA) molecules are approximately 80 nucleotides in length. Their secondary structure includes four short double-helical elements and three loops (D, anti-codon, and T loops). Further hydrogen bonds mediate the characteristic L-shaped molecular structure. tRNAs have two regions of fundamental functional importance: the anti-codon, which is responsible for specific mRNA codon recognition, and the 3' end, to which the tRNAs corresponding amino acid is attached (by aminoacyl-tRNA synthetases). tRNAs cope with the degeneracy of the genetic code in two manners: having more than one tRNA (with a specific anti-codon) for a particular amino acid; and 'wobble' base-pairing, i.e. permitting non-standard base-pairing at the 3rd anti-codon position.
Source: RNAcentral
GGGAGGGUAGCUUAGCCUGGCUAGAGCACUCGGCUGAUAACCGAGAGGUCAUGGGUUCGAAUCCCAUCCUUCCCA